AGGGAAUCUUCCGCAAUGGACGAAAGUCUGACGGAGCAACGCCGCGUGAGUGAUGAAGGUUUUCGGAUCGUAAAGCUCUGUUGCCAGGGAAGAACGUCCUGUAGAGUAACUGCUACAGGAGUGACGGUACCUGAGAAGAAAGCCCCGGCUAACUACGUGCCAGCAGCCGCGGUAAUACGUAGGGGGCGAGCGUUGUCCGGAAUUAUUGGGCGUAAAGCGCGCGCAGGCGGCUGUUUAAGUCUGGUGUUUAAUCCUGGGGCUCAACCCCGGGUCGCACUGGAAACUGGACAGCUUGAGUGCAGCGGAGGAGAGUGGAAUUCCACGUGUAGCGGUGAAAUGCGUAGAGAUGUGGAGGAACACCAGUGGCGAAGGCGACUCUCUGGGCUGUAACUGACGCUGAGGCGCGAAAGCGUGGGGAGCAAAC
This 424-nucleotide ribosomal RNA is filed under the name uncultured bacterium. Its description in RNAcentral is "bacterial SSU rRNA". It matches the Rfam family "Bacterial small subunit ribosomal RNA", at positions 356 to 773 of the family's 1533-position model. The record is from RNAcentral.